AGCAGCCGCGGUAAUUCCAGCUCCAAUAGCGUAUAUUAAAGUUGUUGCAGUUAAAAAGCUCGUAGUUGAACCUUAGGCCCGUGCGGGCGGUCCGUCCUCUGGGCGAGCACUGCCUCGUCGCGGGUCUCACCUUCUGGCGAGCGUGGAUGCCAUUCAUUUGGUGUCCUUGGGAACCAGGACCUUUACCUUGAAAAAUUAGAGUGCUCAAAGCGGGCUCUUACGCUUGAAUACAUUAGCAUGGAAUAAUGAAAUAGGACGACGGUUCUAUUUUGUUGGUUUCCGGGAUUGUCGUAAUGAUUAAUAGGGAUAGUUGGGGGCAUUCGUAUUCAAUUGUCAGAGGUGAAAUUCUUGGAUUUAUUGAAGACGGACUACUG
This 374-nucleotide ribosomal RNA is filed under the name uncultured Glomeromycotina. Its description in RNAcentral is "bacterial SSU rRNA". It matches the Rfam family "Eukaryotic small subunit ribosomal RNA", at positions 569 to 945 of the family's 1831-position model. Lineage: Eukaryota; Fungi; Glomeromycota. The record is from RNAcentral.